This 253-nucleotide ribosomal RNA is filed under the name uncultured bacterium. Its description in RNAcentral is "partial 16S ribosomal RNA". It matches the Rfam family "Bacterial small subunit ribosomal RNA", at positions 524 to 776 of the family's 1533-position model. The record is from RNAcentral.
UACGGAGGGUGCGAGCGUUGUCCGGAAUCACUGGGCGUAAAGGGCGCGUAGGCGGCAUGCCAAGCGUGUGGUGAAAGCCCGGGGCUCAACCCCGGGUCGGCCGUGCGGACUGGCGUGCUCGAGCACUGUAGGGGCGGGUGGAAUUCCCGGUGUAGCGGUGGAAUGCGUAGAGAUCGGGAAGAACAUCAGUGGCGAAGGCGGCCUGCUGGGCUGUUGCUGACGCUGAGGCGCGACAGCGUGGGGAGCAAACAGG